AAAAUCCGUCGAUUUUUAAAAUCGUGAGGGUUCAAGUCCCUCUAUCCCCC
This 50-nucleotide transfer RNA is filed under the name Orobanche caryophyllacea. Its description in RNAcentral is "partial tRNA-Leu". The record is from RNAcentral. Lineage: Eukaryota; Viridiplantae; Streptophyta; Magnoliopsida; Lamiales; Orobanchaceae. RNAcentral also lists the same sequence under 11 other names.